Molecule: ribosomal RNA, 476 nt
Filed under: Ketosoma vemae
Lineage: Eukaryota; Metazoa; Arthropoda; Malacostraca; Isopoda; Nannoniscidae
Description: partial 16S ribosomal RNA
Source: RNAcentral
AAAAAGUAGUCUCUGCUCAAUGAAAAUAUUAAAUAGCCGCAGUAUUCUGACUGUGCUAAGGUAGCAUAAUAAUUUGUCCUAUAAUAGAAGACUGGAAUAAAAGAGCUGUCAUUGCUUUAACUUUUUUAAUUUUACUUAUAUAAAAAUUAAUAUCUGCCUCAAAAAGUGCAGCUUUUUAGAAAGACGAUAAGACCCUAUAAAACUUUAUUAAUACUGUUUAUGUAACAUUUAGAAUAUUUUUUAAAAAUAUUAAUUAAGCUGGGGCGGCAUCUUAACAUAAACAUAAGAAAAUAUAACAUUAUCUGUGAAAUAAAAGAUCUUAAAACAAAAAUUUAAAUAGUUACUUUAGGGAUAACAGCACAAUUUUUUUAUAUAGACCUUAUAGAAAAAAAAGACUUGUGACCUCGAUGUUGAAUUGAAGAGCCUAGUUUAAGCAAAAAUAAAUUUAGGUUUGUCUGUUCGACCUUUAAACCUUC